This 480-nucleotide long non-coding RNA is filed under the name Musa acuminata (dwarf banana). Its description in RNAcentral is "long non-coding RNA (MACU_LNC003065)". Lineage: Eukaryota; Viridiplantae; Streptophyta; Magnoliopsida; Zingiberales; Musaceae. The record is from RNAcentral.
GUACGAAGAAGCUGGUCCUCAACCAGGCCGAUCUGUUGGACGUCGUCGAUUUCCACGCCGUUGUUGAAUCCUUCGAACCCCGGAGAAUAUCUACAGAUUCGAAUGUCCGGUGUUCGAUUUUCCAGUCUUUCGCUGUAGAGAUCGGCCAGGUACCUUCCUUGUUCUGCUUCGUUUACUCUUUUUGAUGCGGAUGAUAGAGAAGCAAGUUAUUUAAAGAAUGCUGAAUGGGACACGAGAGAUUUAUACAGAUGAUUGACCGAAAGGGGAUCUUGCAGAAAUUGACGAUUGAGAAUUGGUUAAAAAGCGGUGAACAUGCAGAAAAACAAAGAGGUUGAAUUAUGAGUUGAAAUUAGAAGAUGGUUCUGAGUUCUCAUCUCAUCCAUGGCUGUGACUGUAGCAAGUUCCCAGUAAUGACAAUAGUGUCUACGUUUUCACUUGGAUUUGUUCUGGCUUCAGAGGAUUUCUGUCUUGAUGAUCAUC